UUAUCUUCUCUAAUAUUUACAAAUCUUGGAGAAAAUUCCAUAAUUAUAACAAAACCCUGACUAAACAUUGUCAAGACCCCUUCAGAUAACCACCAGAUGCUAAUGCUGGCUAACCCAUCUCCGCUGCUGGUUGCCAUCAUAGAGUCCUGAAACAAAUCCGAGAUAUUAUGACUUUAUAACACUAUGCAGAUAUGACUAAACUGCAUGAAUCCAUGAUUUCAUCUUAAAGAACCAGCAGGUCCCACAUUUGAAGAACACUAAACGACUCUCAUUUUCAUACCAUUUUCCACUAAAUUGACAGUAGAGGGUCCAGGAGAGGCCGGUUCGUUCAAGAACAUGGUAAGACACCACCCAAUGCGGCUGGAGAGUCCGACAAUCCAGGUCCAGGCAGAGAGAAUAUUUCCUAUUUCUAAGGAGAGCUGCACCUGAAAGAUACCGUCCCGGGUUGCAUGCACGAGACGGCUGGCAUAUUUUGCCAUGAUACAUCAAUUUGUUGUACAUCAAAACUUGAGAACAUUCGCCUCAAAUCCAGCGAGACAGCCUCUGCGACUUGCUGCACUCCCAAAAGUCUAGGUCCAGCAACUCAAAAAAAUGGUUGAAAAAGUUUAGGGGUAGACAAAGACCUACAUUCCACCUGUAGGAAUGACAUGGCAGUACGGACUUCAAUGCUCAGGAUGUGCUUACUCCAGCUUCUUCUGAUCGAACCAGAAAUACUUUUCGUUC
This 723-nucleotide long non-coding RNA is filed under the name Physcomitrium patens. Its description in RNAcentral is "long non-coding RNA (PPAT_LNC003685)". Lineage: Eukaryota; Viridiplantae; Streptophyta; Bryopsida; Funariales; Funariaceae. The record is from RNAcentral.